GUGGGUCCGUGAGUGUGGCUGUGGACAUGCAUGUGCGUGUCUGUGGGCACACGUACUCCAUGUCAGAGCCGUGGAGGUGCCUGGACCUGCAUGUCUCUGCAUCACGUGGUGAGAGCCAGUGUGCGGUUUCACUGUGGUGCAGGACAGGAGGGGAAGAGGACAAAGGGACCAUUGUACCAGGCUCCCAACUCCAACCCUCCUUUCCGCUGACAUCACGGCUGCCCUAAAUACAGCUGCCAGGCCCAUCCCCGGGACCUUCACCAUCCCUGGGCGCGCAGUGGCACGGCGCCUGCAGCUCCGGGGUCUGCUCUGCGUGCAGGACUCGCCUUUGUCUCCUCUGUGGGGAGAGGACUGGGUUCCCGUGGAUCAUUUUCAUUCAAAUCCAGAUGGAAUAUUCUAGAAAGAAAGGAGGCUUCUUUGGGAAUUUUUACUGUCGCUGCUCGGUUGGAAUCCUGGAUCCCUUCUGGGACCUGGACUCACCCAUCUCCCGCCAGGAUUUUCUAGAACUGGAAUAUGUGGCUGAGGGCUGCUGAGGGGGCACCCUGAGUCCCCAGUCGGCUGCUCCAAGGUUCUGUGGAAAUGUGUGUGGACUCAGGCCACGCUCGGAGGCUGUGCUUACGGUGAAGGCAGAGGCCGUGUACAGGACAACACAAGCAGGGCUCCAGUGGGACGGUGACUAUAGGGGUGACUUCGAGGUGGAAUCCUGCCCUGGUGCUGGUGAGAGGCCGUGUCCCUGUGUCCCCUCCUGACUGUGUGCACAGAAGGCACCAGGUCGGGCAGGGGCGUGGCAGCUGUGGACAAGGUGAGGAGAGGCCAGGCACGGCCACAUCGUGGGCAGGAUGUGCCAGGCCGUGAUGGGAAUGGCAGGAGUUUGGUUCCUGCAGAGGGGUCACUGCCCGGUGUCCCAAGGGGCACUGAGUGUGCCUGUGUCCUCCCCUGACACACACACACACAUGCACACACACAGAGGCCAGUGGCAGCUCCACGUCUCCCAGUCGCACCACCCUCCUGGCUGCUCGUCUGGGCUGCUUCCUCUCCAGCCUCAGCCAGGCUCCCAUGUGUGUCCCACAGCCCAGCGGGGGCGGAGGAGAGGCCCAAGAUCCACGGCUGGGAGGAGCAGAGGAAGGAAGGAGCUGGCCUCGCACACGCACCUGCCUGAGGCUGGGUUGGCAGUGGGAGACACAGGGGUCUCACGGGACAGGGGCAGAGGAGCAGCCCACGCCUCCAAACUGAGCAGAUUGUGUGUGAGGCCCUGUGCCAUCCAUCAGAUGAUGGCCCAGGAGGGAGGAGGAAAUGCCAAGGGAAAGCCGCAGGCCAAGAACCUGUUGGUCUGGGGCUGGAUGCCCAGAGCUACGCCUCAAAGCACAGACCCCGGGCCAGCACUGGGUCUCUGCCUACGCCUGUGGCCACUUAGGGACUCAGUGAACUCAUUAGGUAGCAGGUGGGCAUGGGGUGCCCAGCGAGGAUAGGGCAGACAGUGGUGGAGAGUUUGGAAACGGCCUUGACCAGUGCCUUGCCUAGAACUCUGAGAAGUCAGGCGCGGUGACACACACCUGCAAAGCCAGCUCUUAGGAGGCUGAAGCAGGAGGAUCCCUUCGAGCUCAAGGCCAGCCUAGACUAAAAGUAAGAUCCUGCUUUUAAAAAAAAUAAAAACAAAACAAACAAGUAAACAAACAAAAAGAACUGAGAGUGAACUCAGACAGGCAACAUCGUCCCCCAGCUCAGGGUUCAGUCUCCUCCUAUGGCUCCCCUAGCCCCUCAAGUGCACAGGUGCAGCCCCAUGGAGAGACAGCAGGUGAACCCGGGUCCCAGCAUGGGAAGAGGAUGGAGAGCCUGAGCCCUGACAGCUCCUCCUCUCACAGAGCUGCGUGUGCUGGGAAGGAGCCCCGGGGUAGAGUUAUGGGGGCUGGGGGGCUUCCAGCUGCUGAGAAGGGGCGAGUGGUGGCUGCCCGGCUCCUGUUCAAGUCUUCAUGCAGCUGCACCUGGAGAAGGGCUGGCACGGGGCCCUGCCUCUCUGCCGUCCCCCUUACCUGGGGUCCCUCUCGGGCUGACCUUGGGAGGAAGCUGUCACACGUGGUAUCGGAGACCUUGAGGAAGGCAGGGUGGGCUGAUUUGGGUGCAGCCACCUGGGCAAACACCCUCUGGCCUCCGCAGGGCUGGCUGAGCUCCCAAGGGGGGCUGUGGGGACCCCACACUGGUGACAGCGCUAAGCAUCCUGGGCAUUCAGCUAAAGCUCCAGGUGGCCCUGGACCUCCUGCUUUGCGAAUCCUCCCGAAGGCAGUGCACUCAGACAGGCCCGGGUUCUAUCCCGACUCUGACUGCAGCUCCUCUGUGACCUUGGGUCCCUCACUUUCUCCCUAGGCCUCGGUUUCCCAUAAACCUAUAGGAUUUAGCUAUAAAGUGGGGACCUCGACCCACCCAUCUGUCAUCAUCCAGUUCGCGUGAGGGCUGUGCGUAGCCGAGCUUUCCCUCUCCAGGGGAUCUGAGAAGACACCAAAUGCCUGGAGUCCAGAGGGCAGAGGGCAAACUGGGGGCCCCUAGGAACCCGGGAAGGCAGCACGGGCAGCGAGGACAGCGGGAGGCUGCCGAGGGAAGUGCGCCGGCAGCCAUAGAGGAGCAAGCAGUAGGUAUUUAUUCUGGGGGCCCUGGCUCCAGAACCCCCCAUCCUUCUGCUUCUUCCGAGCAAGUGGGGAAUAGCGGGGGAUCCAAUCGGACAGGAAUGGAGUCAGCUGAGGCCCAGGGUCAGCAGCUCUCUGAGAGGAGAAAGAAGAGGGAUGAGGUCCAGGCUGGAACUGGAGGCACAUGGGGAACACAGCGGCAGGCUGGGAGCCACGCAGAGCAUCCCACAGCUCUCCUGCAGGUAUAGCCAGGUCCCUGCUCCCCUUUCUUCUCCCCCCACUGCCGCCCCCACCUGGAGACAGAAGCCACCUUGCUUCUAGAAAUGACGCUGGCACUGCCCAGCCAGACCCACCUGGCCGGGCUUUCAGUGCUGGUCCAGGAUGAGGGGCACCUGGGCGCUGUCCACGCGGGGCGGCAGUCGCUCGCCUGUGCGCACGUUGAACAUGGGCAGGGUGGAAAGAGGCCGGGGGACCUCGCGCGUGGCCGCCAUCUGCCGCAGCUCCUCCGUGUUCCCAUGGAUGGUGCUGUGGUGGACCAUCUGGAUGCUGGGGGACAGGCCAGGAGUCAGCCCCAGGUCCACGCUGGCUGGGGGUGGGGCUCAAACACAGGAAGUGGGGCCAAGAAGUGAACAGGCUCUGGGUCCAGACAGCCUGGUUUCACGGCUGUUCCUGGCCAUGUUGGGUCUCAGUUUCCCCCACCUCCUAGAUUGCUAGGAUCACUACAUGAAAAAUGCGGCUUGGUAUUGGCAGAGCGGCCAGCACAGGACAGGUGCCCACGAGGUCCUAAUAUGGACAGAUUCCACCGUGUGUGUAUUUGGAGAGGCAUCUGCUCUGUGUGUGUGUGUGUGUGUGUGUGUGUGUGUGUGUGCGCGUGUGUGUGUGUGUGUGUGAGGCAGGAGAAUUGCCAUGAGUUCCAGGCCAGCCUGGGCCACAAAAUGAGAUCCUGUCUCAAAAGCAAAAACAAAAAAUUCCAGCCACGGUGGAGUCUGCGCUCUGCUCCCGGUGUGCCGGACCCCUGGUCCUGCCCCAGCACUGACCAGCUCCCAGCAUGGACUCUCCCUCCCUGUCUCUGUUUCACACCAGGACUCCUGAGCCUCAUUCCAAAUGAGCUGGGAAUCCCAGCAGCACCGAGCGCCAGGUGUGGUGCUCAGUCCUUCCUGAGCCCCCGAUCCAGGCCUCCGGCAGCUGUGGCAGCUCUGUAUCCUCAGACCACUUCCCACGCAGGGCCAAGCUCCCAGGAGAAGCCGAGUACAGGGUGGUCAAGAUGAGGACGCACCUUAGCCUUCGGAUCUGGGUUUGCUGCUUUCUGCUCUGUCACUUUGGGCCCAUUCCUUAAAUCUCUGUGCCUCAGUUUCCUCACAUGUAAUACAGUUGUGAACAAAAAGCGUUCAUCUAGGAGAAGCAUGGGAACAUUUCCUGGCUUGCCUGGCAGCCUCACUGCCAUCAUGAGAAGCUCCCGGUUGCUACGGCAUCAUUGAUGCUAUUUUCCCACAAUGAGCCCCCAGAACUUGGCCUCCGGGGAAGGUGUUUGCCAGCAUGAACCUGCCCGGCCUGAGGACGUGGACCUGUCACCAGGUCAGACAGAGUAGGGGCUUCUCACCAGCACCAGGAGAAGCUUUUUCUUAGAGGGGAGGAGGUGACCCUACUUGCCACUGUGGUUGCUGACCAGGCACAGAGGGGAAGCCAUCCCCCGCCUGCCUGUCCCAGAAGGGUCAUGUUCCUCCAGUCAGAGGGAGGAGGUGGAGUCACCAUGCAAGUCUAGGGGAGGAUCAAGAUGAGUUCCGGAGUCUGGAAUUCACACUCAGUCGCCCAGAUCAAUUUUCCAUUCCUCCAGGAGAGGGGGUUACGCAGAUGCUGAGGUGACGACAGCCCAGGAGGAAGGGGCAUCAGAAUCCUCCCCAGCCUUGGCCCCAAGCCCAUGGCUGGCCUCAGUCUCCAGGCUUCAGCCCGGAUGGGAAAACAGCUUGGGAGGUUUUCCUGGUGUGAGAGCAAACCCCAAACCCCAAGGCACCUCGUCCCAAGAAACCUGCACACGCCAGGCCCAGGCGUGACCUACACACACCCAACACACUCUAACACCCGCCUCACACACCCUGCCUCCGGCAUGCAGACCCUGGGACAGUGGCCCCCAGCCCCAGAAGGACUUCAUGACCAGUGCAGGCUGUAAAAUGCCAACUUGAAAAGUGGCAAACACUGAGCAAAGCAACAAAACUGAAUUUUGUCAAAUAAAUCAACACAAAACCCAAACCAACAAAGGCUGAUGCAGGCCAUGGCAAAGCUGGGUAUCAAUUCCAAACUGAUGUGGAGAGUGGAUUUUCCCAGCCAACAUCAGAGCCCCAACAAUGGACUCAGGAAGCUGGACCAGAUGAAAAUCCUAGCCACAGAGAAAACCUGUCAUGCACAAUGUACAACAGGCCACGCCUGGCACAGCCCCCCAGACCCAAGGAGUAAAAUCCUCUCUGUGAAAUUAAUAUGGAAAAUCAGUGAUCUGUGAAAUAAAAAUGAAAAUAAAAAGAUAAAAACGAA
Molecule: RNA transcript, 5144 nt
Organism: Cavia porcellus (domestic guinea pig)
Lineage: Eukaryota; Metazoa; Chordata; Mammalia; Rodentia; Caviidae
Gene name: histone H1.9-like
Exons: 3
Source: RefSeq, a predicted model, not a curated record